UAAUACAUUUGCUAGUCUAAUAUUCAUGUGUGUCCUCACAUGAACUCCGGCUAGGGACAACUUUAGAAUAACCAUACAAGUAAAGAGUUUCACAUACAAUUCACAUAAUUGCAAAUCAAUUCAAGUAGCCUUCAAUGGAUAUUCAAUGAACACAACAUACAAAUCAUGGAUACAAAUGGAAUAUCAUCAUCUCUAUGAUUGCCUCUAGGGCAUACCUCCAACAGUCUCCC
RNAcentral lists this long non-coding RNA (230 nucleotides) under Setaria viridis. Its description in RNAcentral is "long non-coding RNA (SVIR_LNC006465)". Lineage: Eukaryota; Viridiplantae; Streptophyta; Magnoliopsida; Poales; Poaceae. The record is from RNAcentral.